This 254-nucleotide ribosomal RNA is filed under the name uncultured Singulisphaera sp. Its description in RNAcentral is "partial 16S ribosomal RNA". It matches the Rfam family "Bacterial small subunit ribosomal RNA", at positions 524 to 776 of the family's 1533-position model. Lineage: Bacteria; Pseudomonadati; Planctomycetota; Planctomycetia; Isosphaerales; Isosphaeraceae. The record is from RNAcentral.
GACGAACCGUGCGAACGUUAUUCGGAAUCACUGGGCUUAAAGCGCGCGCAGGCGGGGCGGCACGUCGGUCGCUGAAAUCCCCCGGCUCAACCGGGGAACGGGCACCGAUACGACCGCCCUGGAGGGGCGUAGGGGGACCGGGAACUUCCGGUGGAGCGGUGAAAUGCGUUGAGAUCGGAAGGAACGCCCGUGGCGAAAGCGCGGUCCUGGACGCCUGCUGACGCUGAGGCGCGAAAGCCAGGGGAGCGAACGGG